This 440-nucleotide ribosomal RNA is filed under the name uncultured Actinomycetales bacterium. RNAcentral describes it as "bacterial SSU rRNA". It matches the Rfam family "Bacterial small subunit ribosomal RNA", at positions 28 to 484 of the family's 1533-position model. Lineage: Bacteria; Bacillati; Actinomycetota; Actinomycetes; Actinomycetales. The record is from RNAcentral.
GACGAACGCUGGCGGCGUGCUUAACACAUGCAAGUCGAGCGAUGAAACUACUUCGGUAGUGAAUUAGCGGCGAACGGGUGAGGAACACGUGAGGAAUCUGCCUUCUACACUGGGAUAACUCCGGGAAACCGGGGCUAAUACCGGAUAUGAAACUUGGUGGCAUCACCGAGUUUGGAAAGUUUUUCGGUAGAAGAUGACCUCGCGGCCUAUCAGCUUGUUGGUGAGGUAAUGGCUCACCAAGGCGACGACGGGUAGCCGGCCUGAGAGGGCGACCGGCCACACUGGGACUGAGACACGGCCCAGACUCCUACGGGAGGCAGCAGUGGGGAAUAUUGGGCAAUGGAGGAAACUCUGACCCAGCGACGCCGCGUGCGGGAUGAAGGCCUUCGGGUUGUAAACCGCUUUCAGUAGGGAAGAAGCGAAAGUGACGGUACCUACAG